GACGUAGGGGGCGAGCGUUGUCCGGAUUUACUGGGCGUAAAGCGCGUGCAGGCGGCCCGUUCUGUCCCGUGUGAAAGCUCUCGGCUCAACCGGGAGAGGUCGCGGGAUACUGGCGGGCUUGAGGAAGGCAGAGGAUGGUGGAAUUCCCGGUGUAACGGUGAAAUGUGUAGAUAUCGGGAGGAACGCCAGUGGCGAAGGCGGCCAUCUGGGCCUUCUCUGACGCUGAGACGCGAAAGCUGGGGGAGCAAACGGG
Molecule: ribosomal RNA, 253 nt
Filed under: uncultured bacterium
Lineage: Bacteria
Description: partial 16S ribosomal RNA
Rfam family: Bacterial small subunit ribosomal RNA
Source: RNAcentral